CUUUACCACCGGCCCCUUCGAGGAUGAGCUGGCUGCCCAGAGCUGAGUAGAGAGCUCAUGUCCCCCACCCCACACCACCAGGCACCCAUUGAGUUCCCCGGCCCGUUCCCUCUCUGGACAUUAUGUUGCCCCAUUCUGUCUGAGAACCUCCUUCCCGUGGUGUGUGGCACCCGAAGGCCCUCCUCCAUGGCUGUCACACAGGUUGAAUCCAGUCUCAGAGGGAACCAGUUUGGUUGGAAGUUCAUUUCUCACAGUUCUGGAGGCUGGGCAUCUGCUUGGCAACAGUGUCCUGCUGGUGAUUCUGCCAUUGGAGCCCAGGGAGAAGCCCUGAGGAAGAGAGCAGAUGCCAGUCUGCAGGAGCAAGCAGGGUAGAGAAGGAAGCAUCUGGUCAGCCAUGGGGAAACAUCCAGUGCACAUCGAGUUUGGAGCAAGGUGAAUUAGAAGUCUGGGAGACAAAGGACCAUCUCCGCAUGACUGAUGACUACUCAGGCUAGUGAUGAAUGGGUCUCUAAACCAAACACAUCAAUACCUGUGGGCGUGAGAAGGACAGGGCCUGCCGCCUGCGACACCGUUAAACCCUCUCCCAAGGACUUCGUGUUGAAACAGGCUCCAUAGUUACAGUGUGAUCCCAGGACAAAGAAAUAAAGGUCAGUGAUUGAAGGCAAUUCUUUACCUUCAAAUUAAGACGUG
RNAcentral lists this long non-coding RNA (690 nucleotides) under Heterocephalus glaber (naked mole-rat). RNAcentral's name for it is "lncRNA (ENSHGLG00100030232.2)". Lineage: Eukaryota; Metazoa; Chordata; Mammalia; Rodentia; Bathyergidae. The record is from RNAcentral.